AUGGAGGGGACGGCCAUCAGCAUCGGCAAGUCCGUGUUGAGCGGGGCGCUCAACUACGCCCAGUCGGCUGUGGCCCAGGAGGUGGCUCUGCAGCUUGGUGUCCAGCGUGACCAUUCCUUCAUCAGGGGUGAGCUCGAGAUGAUGCAGUCAUUCCUCAUGGCUGCACACGACGAGCGAGACGACAAUAAGGUGGUCAAGACUUGGGUGAAACAAGUCCGCGACGUGUCCUACUCUGUCGAGGACUGCCUCCUGGAUAUUGCUGUCCGUUUGGAGAAGCAGUCUUGGUGGUGUCUCUCUCUCGCAAGGUGCUAG
This 312-nucleotide ribosomal RNA is filed under the name Triticum aestivum (bread wheat). RNAcentral's name for it is "partial small subunit ribosomal RNA". Lineage: Eukaryota; Viridiplantae; Streptophyta; Magnoliopsida; Poales; Poaceae. The record is from RNAcentral.